UACAGAGGGUCCAAGCGUUGUCCGGAAUCACUGGGCGUAAAGGGCGCGUAGGCGGCCUGGUAAGUAGGGGGUGAAAGAUCAGGGCUUAACCCUGAACCCGCCUUCUAAACUGCCAGGCUCGAGCACAGUAGAGGCAGGUGGAAUUCCACGUGUAGCAGUGAAAUGCGUAGAGAUGUGGAGGAACACCGAUGGCGAAGGCAGCCCCCUGGGUCAACACUGACGCUCAUGCACGAAAGCGUGGGGAGCAAACAGG
Molecule: ribosomal RNA, 253 nt
Filed under: uncultured bacterium
Lineage: Bacteria
Description: partial 16S ribosomal RNA
Rfam family: Bacterial small subunit ribosomal RNA
Source: RNAcentral